GGAAAGAUAAAAUAUCAUAAAGCCAUUAAACGGGCAGGCUAUUAAGAACAAACGCAGGGAGGGAUUACAUCUAAAGCUAAAAUCGCCCAGAAAUUUAGCUGCCAAACAAUGAGCAGCUUCAUUCCCUUCUCUUUUAACAAAAGUAAAAGUAAAAGAAAUACAGUGGACUGAACUAGCUAAAAAUGAGAUCAAAGAUAAUCUCUUGAAUAGACAAGGGAGCUAGACUUCCA
Molecule: unclassified non-coding RNA, 230 nt
Filed under: Hevea brasiliensis (rubber tree)
Lineage: Eukaryota; Viridiplantae; Streptophyta; Magnoliopsida; Malpighiales; Euphorbiaceae
Source: RNAcentral